RNAcentral lists this ribosomal RNA (445 nucleotides) under Escherichia coli. Its description in RNAcentral is "bacterial SSU rRNA". It matches the Rfam family "Bacterial small subunit ribosomal RNA", at positions 1 to 442 of the family's 1533-position model. The record is from RNAcentral. Lineage: Bacteria; Pseudomonadati; Pseudomonadota; Gammaproteobacteria; Enterobacterales; Enterobacteriaceae.
AAAUUGAAGAGUUUGAUCAUGGCUCAGAUUGAACGCUGGCGGCAGGCCUAACACAUGCAAGUCGAACGGUAACAGGAAGCAGCUUGCUGCUUCGCUGACGAGUGGCGGACGGGUGAGUAAUGUCUGGGAAACUGCCUGAUGGAGGGGGAUAACUACUGGAAACGGUAGCUAAUACCGCAUAAUGUCGCAAGACCAAAGAGGGGGACCUUCGGGCCUCUUGCCAUCGGAUGUGCCCAGAUGGGAUUAGCUUGUUGGUGGGGUAACGGCUCACCAAGGCGACGAUCCCUAGCUGGUCUGAGAGGAUGACCAGCCACACUGGAACUGAGACACGGUCCAGACUCCUACGGGAGGCAGCAGUGGGGAAUAUUGCACAAUGGGCGCAAGCCUGAUGCAGCCAUGCCGCGUGUAUGAAGAAGGCCUUCGGGUUGUAAAGUACUUUCAGCGG